AGGUGUGCUGGUGCACACCUGUAAUCCCAGUGACUUGGAAGGCUGAGACAGGAGGAUCACAUGUUCAAGGCUGACCUCAGCAACUUAGCAAGAUCCUAAGCAACUUAGUGAGAACCUGUCUCAA
Molecule: small RNA, 124 nt
Filed under: Marmota monax (woodchuck)
Lineage: Eukaryota; Metazoa; Chordata; Mammalia; Rodentia; Sciuridae
Source: RNAcentral